Molecule: long non-coding RNA, 307 nt
Filed under: Gossypium barbadense (sea-island cotton)
Lineage: Eukaryota; Viridiplantae; Streptophyta; Magnoliopsida; Malvales; Malvaceae
Description: long non-coding RNA (GBAR_LNC004675)
Source: RNAcentral
GUUGGGGUAGCUGUUGUGGGUGGUGGGUCAUCCGGUUCACGGCGGUGGAAGUUGCGGUGGCACCCACAAGCAGCACAUUUGAGGGAAGUUGGGUCAGUUGGGGUGGCUGUUGGCGACGGCAUGAAUUCACCGCAACCGUCUAAAGCAUGGCCGCCUAAGCUGGCUGCAUGGUUCUUCAGACAUUCUUUGUAGGUUAUGACGAUGGGUGGCGCUUGGUGGUGGUGGUGGUGGUGGUGAGGCUUGUGACGCUUGAGAACACCGUUGGUGAAAGAUACAGGCUUGGUGCGAGUUGGUGUUUCACUCACUG